This 253-nucleotide ribosomal RNA is filed under the name uncultured bacterium. RNAcentral's name for it is "partial 16S ribosomal RNA". It matches the Rfam family "Bacterial small subunit ribosomal RNA", at positions 524 to 776 of the family's 1533-position model. The record is from RNAcentral.
GACGUAGGAGGCGAGCGUUGUCCGGAUUCAUUGGGCGUAAAGAGCACGCAGGCGGUUUGGCAAGUCGGAUGUGAAAACCCGGAGCUCAACUCCGGACCUGCAUCCGAAACUGCCCGACUAGAGGUAGGUAGGGGAGAUCGGAAUUCCUGGUGUAGCGGUGAAAUGCGCAGAUAUCAGGAGGAACACCGGUGGCGAAGGCGGGACUCUGGGCCGAUACUGACGCUGAGGAGCGAAAGCGUGGGGAGCAAACAGG